UUGGACCUGAUAUCAGACUUAAGUUAAAGUC
Molecule: ribosomal RNA, 31 nt
Filed under: Globisporangium regulare
Lineage: Eukaryota; Oomycota; Peronosporomycetes; Pythiales; Pythiaceae
Description: Pythium regulare partial 28S ribosomal RNA
Source: RNAcentral